This 484-nucleotide ribosomal RNA is filed under the name uncultured bacterium. Its description in RNAcentral is "partial 16S ribosomal RNA". It matches the Rfam family "Bacterial small subunit ribosomal RNA", at positions 30 to 507 of the family's 1533-position model. The record is from RNAcentral.
AUUGAACGCUGGCGGCAGGCCUAACACAUGCCAGUCGAGCGGAUGAAGGGAGCUUGCUCCUGGAUUCAGCGGCGGACGGGUGAGUAAUGCCUAGGAAUCUGCCUGGGAGUGGGGGAUAACGUCCGGAAACGGGCGCUAAUACCGCAUACGUCCUGAGGGAGAAAGUGGGGGAUCUUCGGACCUCACGCUAUCAGAUGAGCCUAGGUCGGAUUAGCUAGUUGGUGGGGUAAAGGCCUACCAAGGCGACGAUCCGUAACUGGUCUGAGAGGAUGAUCAGUCACACUGGAACUGAGACACGGUCCAGACUCCUACGGGAGGCAGCAGUGGGGAAUAUUGGACAAUGGGCGAAAGCCUGAUCCAGCCAUGCCGCGUGUGUGAAGAAGGUCUUCGGAUUGUAAAGCACUUUAAGUUGGGAGGAAGGGCAGUAAGUUAAUACCUUGCUGUUUUGACGUUACCAACAGAAUAAGCACCGGCUAACUUCGUG